RNAcentral lists this ribosomal RNA (495 nucleotides) under uncultured bacterium. Its description in RNAcentral is "partial 16S ribosomal RNA". It matches the Rfam family "Bacterial small subunit ribosomal RNA", at positions 28 to 505 of the family's 1533-position model. The record is from RNAcentral.
GAUGAACGCUGGCGGCGUGCCUAAUACAUGCAAGUCGAGCGAACAGACGAGGAGCUUGCUCCUUUGACGUUAGCGGCGGACGGGUGAGUAACACGUGGAUAACCUACCUAUAAGACUGGGAUAACUUCGGGAAACCGGAGCUAAUACCGGAUAACAUGUUGAACCGCAUGGUUCAACAGUGAAAGACGGUCUUGCUGUCACUUAUAGAUGGAUCCGCGCCGCAUUAGCUAGUUGGUAAGGUAACGGCUUACCAAGGCAACGAUGCGUAGCCGACCUGAGAGGGUGAUCGGCCACACUGGAACUGAGACACGGUCCAGACUCCUACGGGAGGCAGCAGUAGGGAAUCUUCCGCAAUGGGCGAACGCCUGACGGAGCAACGCCGCGUGAGUGAAGAAGGUCUUCGGAUCGUAAAACUCUGUUAUUAGGGAAGAACAAAUGUGUAAGUAACUAUGCACGUCUUGACGGUACCUAAUCAGAAAGCCACGGCUAACUACG